This 453-nucleotide ribosomal RNA is filed under the name uncultured Porphyromonadaceae bacterium. RNAcentral describes it as "partial 16S ribosomal RNA". It matches the Rfam family "Bacterial small subunit ribosomal RNA", at positions 341 to 792 of the family's 1533-position model. Lineage: Bacteria; Pseudomonadati; Bacteroidota; Bacteroidia; Bacteroidales; Porphyromonadaceae. The record is from RNAcentral.
ACGGAAGGCAGCAGUGAGGAAUAUUGGUCAAUGGGCGGAAGCCUGAACCAGCCAAGUCGCGUGAAGGAUGAAGGUAUUAUGUAUUGUAAACUUCUUUAGCAGCAGAGUAAUAAGGGGGUCGUGACCCCCGAUGCAAGUAUGCUGAAAAUAAGGAUCGGCUAACUCCGUGCCAGCAGCCGCGGUAAUACGGAGGAUCCGAGCGUUAUCCGGAUUUAUUGGGUUUAAAGGGUGCGCAGGCGGUUUUUUAAGUCAGUGGUUAAAUCGUGAGGCUCAACCUCAUCACGCCAUUGAUACUGGAAGACUUGAUUGCGGUUGAGGUUGGCGGAAUUCGUCGUGUAGCGGUGAAAUGCAUAGAUAUGACGAAGAACACCGAUUGCGUAGGCAGCUUACCAAGCCGUAAAUGACGCUCAUGCACGAAAGUGCGGGGAUCGAACAGGAUUAGAUACCCUGGUA